CAAUAGCGUAUAUUUAAGUUGUUGCAGUUAAAAAGCUCGUAGUUGGAUUUCGGGUGUAAACUGCCGGUCCGUCUUUGAUGUGUACUGGUUGGUUGCGCCUUAUUGUCGAGGACGUGGUUCUGGCUUUCAUUAGCUGGGACACGGAGUCGGCAGCGUUACUUUGAGAAAAUUAGAGUGUUCAAAGCAGGCUAUCGCUCUGAAUACUACAGCAUGGAAUAACACGAUAGGACUCCGAGCCUAUUCUGUUGGUCUUCGGGACCGGAGUAAUGAUUAAGAGGGACAGUUGGGGGCAUUCGUAUUCCGAUGUCAGAGGUGAAAUUCUUGGAUUAUCGGAAGACGAACAUCUGCGAAAGCAUUUGCCAAGGAUGUUUUCAUUAA
Molecule: ribosomal RNA, 378 nt
Filed under: uncultured eukaryote
Lineage: Eukaryota
Description: partial 18S ribosomal RNA
Rfam family: Eukaryotic small subunit ribosomal RNA
Source: RNAcentral